GAGUUUGAUCAUGGCUCAGAUUGAACGCUGGCGGUAUGCUUAACACAUGCAAGUCGAACGGUAGGAUGUAGCUUGCUAUAUCCGAGAGUGGCGGACGGGUGAGGAACGCGUAGGAAUCUGUCUAAUAGUCUGGGACAACCCGGGGAAACUCGUGCUAAUACUGGAUAAGUUCUGAGGAAGAAAGCUGGGUUUAGGCCUGGUGCUAUUGGGUGAGCCUGCGUUGGAUUAGCUAGUUGGUGGGGUAAAGGCCUACCAAGGCGACGAUCCAUAGCUGUUCUGAGAGGAAGACCAGCCACACUGGGACUGAGACACGGCCCAGACUCCUACGGGAGGCAGCAGUGGGGAAUAUUGGACAAUGGGCGGAAGCCUGAUCCAGCAAUACCGCGUGUGUGAAGAAGGCCUGAGGGUUGUAAAGCACUUUCAGCGAGGAGGAAGUGUUGUUGGUUAAUAGCCAAUAAUGUUUGACGUUACUCGCAGAAGAAGCACCGGCUAACUCUGUGCCAGCCGCC
This 509-nucleotide ribosomal RNA is filed under the name uncultured Gammaproteobacteria bacterium. RNAcentral describes it as "bacterial SSU rRNA". It matches the Rfam family "Bacterial small subunit ribosomal RNA", at positions 9 to 516 of the family's 1533-position model. The record is from RNAcentral. Lineage: Bacteria; Pseudomonadati; Pseudomonadota; Gammaproteobacteria.